Molecule: long non-coding RNA, 921 nt
Organism: Centruroides sculpturatus (bark scorpion)
Lineage: Eukaryota; Metazoa; Arthropoda; Arachnida; Scorpiones; Buthidae
Exons: 3
Source: RefSeq, a predicted model, not a curated record
CAUAGAAUAAGCGUUUAAAAUUAUUGUUAUAACUUACUUUUACAUCUUUUAAACUCUAUCGUUUAAUGGUAAUUUUAAACGGUUGUUAAAAGACAACGAUAAGUUAUAACGGUGAUAAUUUUCCUGUUUCAAUUAUACUUUUGAUUUAAAGUUAUCAGCGGUAAAAGUGAAAGUUACAACCUUUACUCGUUAAAGUUAUUACUGUACCGAAGGCAUUAACUUUCGUAAAUUGCCCCGAUAUAACGUUACAUAAGAGGAUAAAUUAUACCUCGAUACAGCGAUAUCUGCAGUGAAAAUUAAAGGAGUUCUAGGUUUAAAUUCGCCACCUGAUCCCAACUGCAUUCCCGUUUUGCGUUCUGGGGUGAAAGGGAGAGUGUAUAAAUCCCGGAAGUGACAUCGAUUAGUUUCUCCAUGGAUCGAUGAGGAUCGACUAGACGGGCCAACUGAACCGUGGUAGUCAGCGGUAGUCAGCUAGAGAAAACGCGAUAUUCUCUUUCUAAUCGAUUGUAUUUAAAGUCUGCUAGCCUUAAACCCUGUUUCCUCUUCAAACCGCCAAUUUAAGAUCGAUUCGAUGAAAAUUUGCUCCCCCCUUCUAUCAUUCUCUCUUCUUCCCCUCGACCAGAAGUCACUUUUGGAAGUCGAAACUUGAUUAAAAUACUCCACGCGUUGACAAAACACCAAAUUGUUAUGAGGUGUGGUAAUCUGAUUAGUAAAUUGUAUGAUAAAACUGUUCUUCGUACCUUUAGGAAAAGAUACAAAGAAAAAAAAAGAUGGGGAGAAAUCUCAGAAUAAAAAUUGAAAACGUGUUUGGCCUGCAGACUUUUUACUUGUUAACUGAUAAUUUCAUGGAUAAUAAGAGUUUUUCGUGAUAAUUUUUUUGAAUAUUUUUCAGCCUAACAUUCAUUAAAAAAAAAAUAUAUU